Long non-coding RNA from Alosa sapidissima (American shad), 426 nucleotides. RefSeq lists it as uncharacterized. NCBI's taxonomy places the organism in Eukaryota, Metazoa, Chordata, Actinopteri, Clupeiformes, Clupeidae. The transcript is spliced from 4 exons. The record is from RefSeq and is a predicted model, not a curated record.
ACGCUCCGUGAUUGGAUCUCAGACGUGUGUCUCUUCUGUUCACCAUUGAACCGUAACAAAUGGAGUUCACAAACUGUAAUAUUUUGCAUCAACUUGCUUAUCAAUUAAGAGCUAGCUACUCCAUUUGCUUGUCACAAGGCUCACAAGAAUCUAUGGACUGUAUGGUUACUGAGUUCUUAAUUACUAAAGACUCACUCAGCAGUAAUGAGCAUUUUGUAAUCAAUGUACUUCCUCUUGCAAAUGUCUGGUGGUGGUUAUCUAAAUUUAAUCAUAUUACUCAUCUCUUCGUUUCUGGUGCCCGUACUGGCUUGGCCGCAUUUGUGCAGGUCAUAAUCUUCUUUAACUGCAAGCGCUAUUUCUUCUGCACUAACCUGAGCUUCUGCAACUGCAAGCUCAUUGUCCCCCGAGCAUUUGCAACUGCAAGCU